GACGAACGCUGGCGGCGUGCCUAAUACAUGCAAGUAGAACGCUGAAGAGAGGAGCUUACUCUUCUUGGAUGAGUUGCGAACGGGUGAGUAACGCGUAGGUAACCUGCCUUGUAGCGGGGGAUAACUAUUGGAAACGAUAGCUAAUACCGCAUAACAAUGGAUGACACAUGUCAUUUAUUUGAAAGGGGCAAUUGCUCCACUACAAGAUGGACCUGCGUUGUAUUAGCUAGUAGGUGAGGUAAUGGCUCACCUAGGCGACGAUACAUAGCCGACCUGAGAGGGGGAGCGGCCACACUGGGACUGAGACACGGCCCAGACUCCUACGGGAGGCAGCAGGAGGGAAUCUUCGGCAAUGGGGGCAACCCUGACCGAGCAACGCCGCGGGAGUGAAGAAGGUUUUCGGAUCGUAAAGCUCUGUUGUAAGUCAAGAACGGGUGUGAGAGUGGAAAGUUCACACUGUGACGGUAGCUUACCAGAAAGGGACGGCUAACUACGUG
Molecule: ribosomal RNA, 497 nt
Filed under: uncultured bacterium
Lineage: Bacteria
Description: partial 16S ribosomal RNA
Rfam family: Bacterial small subunit ribosomal RNA
Source: RNAcentral